GAUGAACGCUGGCGGCAUGCCUAAUACAUGCAAGUCGAACGCUGACAGAGGAGCUUGCUCUUCUGGCUGAGUUGCGAACGGGUGAGUAACGCGUAGGUAACCUGCCUUGUAGCGUGGUAUAACUAUUGGUAACGAUAGCUACUACCGCAUGACAACCGUUAUUGCAUGAUAACUGUUUAAAAUUGGCACCUUCUCCACUACCAUAUGGACCUGCGUUGUAUUAACUAGUUGGUGAGGUAACGGCUCAACAAGGCGACGAUACAUCGCCGACCUGAGGGGGUGAUCGGCCACACUGGGAAUGGGACAAGGCUCAGGACUCUACGGGAGGGAGCAGGAGGGAAUCUUCGGACAUGGACGGAAGUCUGAACGAGCCACGCCGGGUGAGGGAAGAAGGGUUUCGGAGCGGAAAGCUCUGUUGUAAGAGAAGAAAGAGUGUGAGGGUGGAAAGUUGACGCUGUGACGGUAGCUUAACAGAAAGAGACGGCUAACUACGUG
RNAcentral lists this ribosomal RNA (495 nucleotides) under uncultured bacterium. Its description in RNAcentral is "partial 16S ribosomal RNA". It matches the Rfam family "Bacterial small subunit ribosomal RNA", at positions 28 to 507 of the family's 1533-position model. The record is from RNAcentral.